GGGAAGUGGUCUAGGGGUAUGAUACUCGCUUCGGGUGAGGGUGGUCCCGGGUUCGAAUCCCGGCUGGGUCCCC
Paragonimus heterotremus is the source of this 73-nucleotide non-coding RNA. Lineage: Eukaryota; Metazoa; Platyhelminthes; Trematoda; Plagiorchiida; Troglotrematidae. The record is from the annotation of a GenBank genome assembly.